RNAcentral lists this long non-coding RNA (1374 nucleotides) under Marmota monax (woodchuck). The record is from RNAcentral. Lineage: Eukaryota; Metazoa; Chordata; Mammalia; Rodentia; Sciuridae.
CUCCCUCCCUUUUCUCUCUCUUUCUCUCUCUCUCUCAGCAAACACACCAAUUCUUCCCAAAUUAGCACCUCCAGUUACCAUACACAUGUUACCAGUGUCAAACUUGAUGAAAUCGGUAGUCUUGCCAGUCUCCAAAUCUAUCUGAAUGGUAUCAUUCACUUUGAUUAGGGGAUCAGGGUAGCAAAUGGUUCGAGCAUCAUGAGUCACUAGAAGAGGGAUUCCUUUUGUGCCCACAAAGAUCUUUCUCACUUUGCACAAUGUGUACUUGGCCUCCUCAGGUGUAAUAUGAUGAACAGCAAAAUGACCCUUGGUGUCACAGAUCAGACAGAAAUUCUUUCCAGUCUUAUCAAUGCUGAUGACAUCUAUAAAACCGGUGUGGUAUGUUAUAUCAGUUUGGACUUUGCCAUCAAUCUUAAUGAAGUGCUGAAUGCAAAUCUGUCUUACUUCAUCUCCUGUCAGGGCAUACUUAACUCUGUUCCUUAGAAAAAUGAUGAGAGGAAGAUGUUCUCUCAGCUUGUGGGGACCAGUGGAUGGAUGAGAAGCAAACACACCAGUCAGUUUAAUCCAGCAUCCAAUACUUUGGAGCUGCUACCCACUGCUUCAGAUGCUUCUUGGGACCAUGAGCCAUGGCUGCUCUAGGCACAGAAAGAGGCCUCCUUCUUCCUGUGUGCUCCAUGCUGUUCUUGAUCUGCUUUGUCUCUUCUCUGUUUUUUGUGUGUGCUACUCUGUCUUUGGAUCUCUGUUUUUCUGACUAGCUUUACUAGACUAUCUAGCUGGACUAGUCUUCCCAGAUCCUUUCAAGAGGAGGCAGCAGGUCUCCUGCUGAGAAAGGAGGGAAGUAAGAUCUAGGCAGAGACUCCUGGUGGUUAGUCAAGUGGAUACACAACAGAUCCUGCCCACAGGUCUCUAUUUUGGGGUCACUUUUGGACAUGAAUGAGGUUCUGUAGACAGCAACCCUGCUCUCCUGUUGUGCACUAGGCCCAGAGUCAGUCCCAGAGGGGUAUGCAUCUGGUGCCUUCAGUGUGCCAGGCUUGGGUCAAAUACAGUGCACAAAGCACUCUAAGGGGCCCACAGCUUAGUGGACAGAGUAGGCAGAGGAAAAAAUCAGUGGGCAGUAGAGUAGAGCUGAUUUAUUCUGGCAGUUCAGGGAGUCACCAUAGAAGAGAUGAUGCUAAAAGUCCUUUUCAGAGGUCUCAAUUUUCCCAGUGAGAGGAAUUUUUCAUCUAGGAUCCACAGAGAAGGUUGCAUCAAGGAGCAGUACAACAUGAUGAAGGAAGAGAUUGGGGUCCCAAAGAUCCAGUUGACUUUAGAAUUUAACCUGCAUAAUAUGGAGCCUCUGAUGAUUUCCUGAGCAAAGAACAGGUACCAUUUAAG